UACAGAGGUCCCAAGCGUUGUUCGGAUUCAUUGGGCGUAAAGGGUGUGUAGGUGGCGCCGUAAGUCGGGUGUGAAAUUUCGGAGCUUAACUCCGAAACUGCAUUCGAUACUGCGGUGCUCGAGGACUGGAGAGGAGACUGGAAUUUACGGUGUAGCAGUGAAAUGCGUAGAGAUCGUAAGGAAGACCAGUGGCGAAGGCGGGUCUCUGGACAGUUCCUGACACUGAGACACGAAGGCCAGGGGAGCAAACGGG
This 253-nucleotide ribosomal RNA is filed under the name uncultured bacterium. Its description in RNAcentral is "partial 16S ribosomal RNA". It matches the Rfam family "Bacterial small subunit ribosomal RNA", at positions 524 to 776 of the family's 1533-position model. The record is from RNAcentral.